CUACGCACUCCUACGGGAGGCAGCAGUGGGGAAUAUUGCACAAUGGGCGCAAGCCUGAUGCAGCCAUGCCGCGUGUAUGAAGAAGGCCUUCGGGUUGUAAAGUACUUUCAGCAGUGAGGAAGGUGGGUAUGUUAAUAGCAUACUCAUUUGACGUUAGCUGCAGAAGAAGCACCGGCUAACUCCGUGCCAGCAGCCGCGGUAAUACGGAGGGUGCGAGCGUUAAUCGGAAUUACUGGGCGUAAAGCGCAUGCAGGUGGUUUGUUAAGUCAGAUGUGAAAGCCCGGGGCUCAACCUCGGAAUUGCAUUUGAAACUGGCAAACUAGAGUACUGUAGAGGGGGUAGAAUUUCAGGUGUAGCGGUGAAAUGCGUAGAGAUCUGAAGGAAUACCGGUGGCGAAGGCGGCCCCCUGGACAGAUACUGACACUCAGAUGCGAAAGCGUGGGGAGCAAACAGGAUUAGAUACCCUGGUAG
RNAcentral lists this ribosomal RNA (471 nucleotides) under uncultured bacterium. RNAcentral's name for it is "bacterial SSU rRNA". It matches the Rfam family "Bacterial small subunit ribosomal RNA", at positions 329 to 793 of the family's 1533-position model. The record is from RNAcentral.